Molecule: long non-coding RNA, 918 nt
Filed under: Elaeis guineensis (African oil palm)
Lineage: Eukaryota; Viridiplantae; Streptophyta; Magnoliopsida; Arecales; Arecaceae
Description: long non-coding RNA (EGUI_LNC065998)
Source: RNAcentral
CUUUAUACGGGUCGAGAACUCCAUAGUUGAUUUUCUUUGUUGCCUUUGAAGCCGCACAUACAUCCAUCCGGCCUCUACAGGUGAUUCACACGAAGCUGCAAUAAAAUCGGAGGUUCGUCGAACGAAGAUCCGCUCGAAGUGUUAGCUUCUUGUGGAUCUUUCUGGAUGGUUAAUCUAAAAAAUAUUCUUUGAAUCUCUUGGAUAUUCCAUAAGAUGAAGAAUAUGAGGAGGAAUGAGAGAGAAGUCAAAUCUUUUGACCUCCCUAAAAUCAGAAAUAAUAUGUAAAGGAAAAGGGUCCUAAGAGAAGACAGAUCUUCUCUUUCAGUAUAUCAACGAUUGAUGUCCUAAGAACAUCUCUAUGCUAGAACAUGAGAAGACCUUCUUCUCUAGUUAUUUUUUAAAUUUUCAAAUCUUAUGAUAUCUGAUUUUUCUCACAAAAAAAUCUCACUAUUUAUGAAGAAGAAGGAUUCUAAAAGAAACCUUAAGAGAAGACCUUAUUUUCUUCUUCUUCUCUCAUUAGAACAUGAUCAGCUCAUGUCUAAAAUUAGAUCACCAUGCUCCAACUUAUUGGAGCAUGAAUCUACCAUGCCAUCCCUCUUUCUCUUUCAAAAUUUUAUCAUAUAAAAAUAUACAAUAAAGAGAGAAUAAUCUGAAAAGAAAAUAAUAAGAGAAAAUAAUCUUUUCUCUUACCUUUUUGUUUCUACAAGACAUCAACCUUUGAUCUCUUGAUUGAAGACCCUUCUCCAAGGAUAUUGGCACAUCAAACCACCCAUGCCAUCCUCUUUCUCCUCUGGUUUUUCUGUCAAGAAACUACAGAUUUUAGACUCCUAUAUCUUCUCAUAUGGGGCGGCACCAAUAUAAGAGGUAGAUAAGGUCAAGACUCCUAGUUAAACAAGGAACUUAUAGGGCGUCCAACUC